Bacteroides cellulosilyticus CAG:158 is the source of this 144-nucleotide small RNA. It matches the Rfam family "GibS sRNA". From Rfam's summary of the family: A small RNA with a conserved region in the 5' region in gene clusters, related to carbon metabolism in Bacteroidetes. The record is from Rfam. Lineage: Bacteria; Pseudomonadati; Bacteroidota; Bacteroidia; Bacteroidales; Bacteroidaceae.
GUGUUUUUCAUAGUAUUAGAUAUAAGAUUAAUUAAAGGAGACUGUACCCGCUUGUGAUAAGUAAGUACAUCAAAAACAGAAGCGUCUGUUUGAUUGAUAAAUGUGUAAGGAGCAUCGGUUUACCAGAGCCGAUGCUUUUUUUGU